RNAcentral lists this long non-coding RNA (282 nucleotides) under Populus tremula. RNAcentral describes it as "long non-coding RNA (PTRE_LNC003043)". The record is from RNAcentral. Lineage: Eukaryota; Viridiplantae; Streptophyta; Magnoliopsida; Malpighiales; Salicaceae.
GGAUGAGGGAGGAGAGGCACGGUUCCUCUGAUUUUCAGCCGAGAGAGGGAUGAGGAAGAUUUUGGCCGGGUCUCUCUCGGAGCAAAAAAAAUUCAAGCGGGAGGAGGGCUGCCUUGGCUUUUUCUGGUUUCGGCUUUGAAGAUGAGUAAAAAUGGGGAAAUGGAGAUGGCUAGCUUUGGCUGUGUAUGGGAAUGGGUGGUCAUUGGCUCUGUGAGAAGAAGACUGGAGGCGAAGAAAUUCAAAACCAGUUAGGGAAAGGGGGGGUUGCAGCGUUGGAAAAAA